GACGAACGCUGGCGGCGUGCUUAACACAUGCAAGUCGAACGGAAAGGCCCUGCUUUUGUGGGGUGCUCGAGUGGCGAACGGGUGAGUAACACGUGAGUAACCUGCCCUUGACUUUGGGAUAACUUCAGGAAACUGGGGCUAAUACCGGAUAGGAGCUCCUGCUGCAUGGUGGGGGUUGGAAAGUUUCGGAGGUUGGGGAUGGACUCGCGGCUUAUCAGCUUGUUGGUGGGGUAGUGGCUUACCAAGGCUUUGACGGGUAGCCGGCCUGAGAGGGUGACCGGCCACAUUGGGACUGAGGUACGGCCCAGACUCCUACGGGAGGCAGCAGUGGGGAAUAUUGCACAAUGGGCGGAAGCCUGAUGCAGCAACGCCGCGUGCGGGAUGACGGCCUUCGGGUUGUAAACCGCUUUCGCCUGUGACGAAGCGUGAGUGACGGUAAUGGGUAAAGAAGCACCGGCUAACUACGUG
Molecule: ribosomal RNA, 468 nt
Filed under: uncultured bacterium
Lineage: Bacteria
Description: partial 16S ribosomal RNA
Rfam family: Bacterial small subunit ribosomal RNA
Source: RNAcentral